This 477-nucleotide ribosomal RNA is filed under the name Candidatus Scalindua brodae. RNAcentral describes it as "bacterial SSU rRNA". It matches the Rfam family "Bacterial small subunit ribosomal RNA", at positions 365 to 832 of the family's 1533-position model. Lineage: Bacteria; Pseudomonadati; Planctomycetota; Candidatus Brocadiia; Candidatus Brocadiales; Candidatus Scalinduaceae. The record is from RNAcentral.
UUCGCAAUGCCCGAAAGGGUGACGAAGCGACGCCGCGUGGGUGAGGAAGGCCUUCGGGUUGUAAAGCCCUGUCAGGAGUUAAGAAAUGUAAGUGCGCUAAUAUCGCAUUUAUUUGACGAAGGCUCCAAAGGAAGCCACGGCUAACUCUGUGCCAGCAGCCGCGGUAAUACAGAGGUGGCAAGCGUUGUUCGGAAUUAUUGGGCGUAAAGAGCACGUAGGUGGGUUUGUAAGUCAGAUGUGAAAGCCUUCUGUUCAACGGAAGAAUUGCAUCUGAAACUGCGAGUCUUGAGUGUAGGAGGGGAGAGUGGAACUUCUGGUGGAGCGGUGAAAUGCGUAGAUAUCAGAAGGAACGUCGGCGGCGAAAGCGACUCUCUGGCCUAUUACUGACACUCAGUGUGCGAAAGUUAGGGGAGCAAACGGGAUUAGAUACCCCGGUAGUCCUAACCGUAAACGAUGGGCACUAAGUAGAGGGGUUUU